This 61-nucleotide transfer RNA is filed under the name Ictidomys tridecemlineatus (thirteen-lined ground squirrel). Its description in RNAcentral is "Spermophilus tridecemlineatus (thirteen-lined ground squirrel) tRNA". It matches the Rfam family "tRNA", at positions 6 to 65 of the family's 71-position model. Rfam says of the family: Transfer RNA (tRNA) molecules are approximately 80 nucleotides in length. Their secondary structure includes four short double-helical elements and three loops (D, anti-codon, and T loops). The record is from Rfam by way of RNAcentral. Lineage: Eukaryota; Metazoa; Chordata; Mammalia; Rodentia; Sciuridae.
UGUGGCUCAGUGGUAGAGUGCUCACCUCACAGGUGGAGGGACCUGGGUUCAAUCCUCAGCA